GGAGAUUUAGCUCAGCGGCAUAAGCGCCUGCCUUGCAAGCAGGCAGUCUUGAGUUCGAUUCCCAGUACCG
This 70-nucleotide transfer RNA is filed under the name Cavia porcellus (domestic guinea pig). It matches the Rfam family "tRNA". From Rfam's summary of the family: Transfer RNA (tRNA) molecules are approximately 80 nucleotides in length. Their secondary structure includes four short double-helical elements and three loops (D, anti-codon, and T loops). Lineage: Eukaryota; Metazoa; Chordata; Mammalia; Rodentia; Caviidae. The record is from Rfam by way of RNAcentral.